ACAGUAUCGGCCGAGGCAAAUUCUCACCAACCCACUCAUUUGGAUCUCAAAUCAGGCAAGGCAACCCGCUGAAUUUAAGCAUAUUAUUAACGGAGGAAAAGAAACUAACUAGGAUUCCCGCAGUAGCGGCGAGCGAAGCGGGAAGAGCCCAACAUGAAAAGCCUGCUUGCAGGCGUUGUAUUGUGAGCAGCCUCUGGGGUGUCAGUGUGGGUAAGUCGCAUGGAAAUGCGGGCCACGGAGGGUGAGAGUCCCGUCCGUCCCACACAGGACACACCGUACGAGGCUGUUUCAGACGAGUCGGGUAGCUUGGGAAUGCUGCUCUAAUUGGUGGUGAAUCUCAUCAAAGCCAAAUAACGGCUGAAGACGAUAGCGAACAAGUACCGUGAGGGAAAGAUGCAAAGCACUUCGAAAAGAGGGUGAAAAGAACCUGAAACCGUCAUGGAGGAAGCGGAUUGCGUUGGAAUGAAAGGGCGCUGUGUGUUCAGCCCGUUUGGGGUGCACUGGCACGAGUGCCUAUCCGCCGUGGGCUGCCGGGGGCCGAUUGGUGGGUCCCUGGCGGCUGAGGGCUCUCCUCUUGCAGGGUUGAGGACGGCGGAGGGACGACGCGAUACGACCCGUCUUGAAACACGGACCAAGGAGUCUAGCGCGGAUGCGAGUCAAAGGGUGUGAAAUCCCGUGGGCGCAGUGAAAGCGACGUUGCAAAACGAGCAGUUUGAGGCGGCAUGAGAUCAUUGUAUCUCAAGUCCGACCUGGAGUAUUUGCGCUGGACCCGAAAGAUGUUGAACUAUGCCGGAGUAGAGCAAAGCCAGAGGAAACUCUGGUGGAGGCUCGUAGCGGUGCUGACGUGCAAAUCGCUCGUCAACUUGGUAUAAGGCGAAAGACUAAUCGAACCAUCUAGUAGCUGUUCCCUCCGAAGUUUCUCUCAGAAUAGCGGCCGACACGAGUUUUUCUGUGUGGUUAAAGCGAAUGGUUAGCGCGAUUUGGAACAGUAUGUCUUCUGGCGAUUCUCAAACUUUAAAUGCGCAGAGGUGUCUGCUUGUUGAGCGGAACCGGCAAAAAUGUCGGCCCUGUGGCCACUUUUGGUAAGCAGAACAGGCGAUACGGGAUGAACCGUAAGCACGGUAAGGCGCCCAAGUGCCCGCUUAUAGACCCCACAAAAGGCGUUGAUUCAUCGAGACAGCAGGACGGUGGCCGUGGAAGUCGGAAUCCGCUAAGGAGUGUGUAACAACUCACCUGCCGAAUGAAUUAGCCCUGAAAAUGGAUGGCGCUGAAGCGGGCUGCCCGACACCGUGCCGUCUGGGCGAGAAAGGCCCAGAUGAGUAGGAGGGCUGGCGGCCGUAUCGAAGCACGCGUGCAAACGCGUGGGAACGGCCGCUAGUGCAGAUCUUAGUGGUAGUAGCAAGUAUUCAAGCGAGAAUCCUUGAAGGCGAAGCGGGGAAGGGUUCCACGCGAACAUGAUUGGGCGUGGGUGAGUCGUUCCUAAGCCGAGUGCGAUUGCUAAGUAGCGGCGAAAGGAAAGCGGGUUGAAAUUCCCGCACACGGAUGUGGACGCGGUGAUGCGAUGAUGGGGCGAAGACGCUGGCGACGGCGCUGGGCAGUUGUCUUUUCUGUUUGACCAGUUUGCGCGCGCGUGUGGAAUCCGCUUGUCGGGAGAAACACGCGUGUGCGGGCAGAGCGCCGGGGCUUUUCCGGCGUCCAGCUCGCCGUCGACGGCCCUUGAAAAUUUGCCUGCUGAAAAUCUUUGAUUUGAAAUCCACGCCGUGGCGUACCGAUCACCGCAUCAGGUCCCCAAGGUGAACAGCCUCUGCUCAGUAUGAAUAAUGCAGGUAAGGGAAGUCGGCAAAUUAGACCCGUAACUUUGGGAAAAGGGUUGGCUCUAGUGCUGCGUGGGAGUGGUUGCCGGGUUCUGGCGCGCGCGGCUGUGCGGCCUUCGGCGCGGGACCUCGCAAGGGGACCUGUGCCGUGCCGCUGAGUCUGCGCGCCGCCACGCCUGGCGACGCCCACGGCAUGCAGCAGACUAGAACUGCAACGGGCAAAGGGAAUCCGACUGUUUAAUUAAAACAAAGCAUUGCGAGGGCCGUGGCCGGUGAUGACGCAAUGUGAUUUCUGCUCAGUGCUCUGAAUGUCAAAGUGAAGAGAUUCAAUCAAGCGCGGGUAAACAGCGGAGUAACUAUGACUCUCUUAAGGUAGCCAAAUGCCUCGUCAUCUAAUUAGUGACGCGCAUGAAUGGAUUAACGAGAUUCCUACUGUCCCUAUCUGCUUCUAGCGAAACCACAGCCGAGGGAACGGGCUCGGCAGAAUCGGCGGGGAAAGAAGACCCUGUUGAGCUUGACUCUAUUCUAAUUUUUGUGAAGCAAGUUGGGAGGUGUAGCAUAGGUGGGAGCGCUCACGCGCGGCCGUGAAAUACCACUACUCCCAGUCUUGCUUUACUUACUGGGUUGGUGUGGAUGGGCGCUUGUACCGCCCGAUUCUGGAACCAACGCGGGCGCUUUGCGCCUGCGGACCACAGCCCAGGACAGAUUUAGGAGGGGAGUUUGGCUGGGGCGGCACAUCUUCUACAAGACAACGAAGGUGUCCAAAGAUGAGCUCAGUGAGAACAGAAAUCUCACGUAGCGCAAAAGGGUAAAAGCUCGUUUGAUUUCGAUUUUCAGUGCGAGUCGAAAACGCGAAAGCGUGGCCUAUCGAUCCUUUCACGAUUCGAGAUUUGAAGCGAGAGGUGUCAGAAAAGUUACCACAGGGAUAACUGGCUUGUGGCGGCCAAGCGUCCAUAGCGACGUCGCUUUUUGAUCCUUCGAUGUCGGCUCUUCCUAUCAUUGUCGAAUAUGUACAAUACCCAAGUGUCGGAUUGUUCACCCGCCAACAGGGAACGUGAGCUGGGUUUAGACCGUCGUGAGACAGGUUAGUUUUAUCCUACCGAUGAGUUGUUGUCGCGCCAGUAAUUCAAGGCAGUACGAGAGGAACGCUUGAUUCAGAUCACUGGCUCAUGCAGCUGCACGACCCUGCACUGCUGCGACCCUACCAUCUGAAUGAUCAGAAAGG
Molecule: ribosomal RNA, 3039 nt
Filed under: Kappaphycus alvarezii
Lineage: Eukaryota; Rhodophyta; Florideophyceae; Gigartinales; Solieriaceae
Description: eukaryotic LSU rRNA
Rfam family: Eukaryotic large subunit ribosomal RNA
Source: RNAcentral